Molecule: long non-coding RNA, 534 nt
Organism: Cyprinus carpio (common carp)
Lineage: Eukaryota; Metazoa; Chordata; Actinopteri; Cypriniformes; Cyprinidae
Source: RefSeq, a predicted model, not a curated record
ACACUGAUAAGCCCUUCAUUAGUAGAGCACCAACUGUGAGCACGUGAGGAGCAGCCUCAGUCGGGUUGGUGUUGUUUGAAACUCCGGUUGUUUUUUGUUAUUUUGAUCACAACGAGAGAAAUAGACGAAUCAAAGAUGGCGAGCCCAGCCCAGAGUGAUGGUGGAUGGUCGUGAGAACGGUGUGGCCAGCCGUGGGACCAGCCACCGAGGACGUCGGACUAGUUUCGUUCAGACAGGAUACAGAUAAGAAUACACUUACGCUAUUAACUCUACCCGGGUAGUAGUACUGGACUUUAUAUACACACACACACACACACACACACAAAAGGACCAGGAACUGAACUCUGAACUCAAUUUCAUACUCCUCGACUUAAAGGAGCAUUGAGCUGAAGUAUCAGCUCACAGGGACAUUUUCCUUUCCUUUUAUUAUUGAAAGAGCUCUAUUUUUGUUUUAUUUUAUUUUCAUUCUUGGUACAUUAUAGUACUGUGUUCAUUGUUGUGUCCCCUAAUGUUAUAAAACUGUCAACUGUUCAA